RNAcentral lists this transfer-messenger RNA (389 nucleotides) under Acaryochloridaceae cyanobacterium RU_4_10. It matches the Rfam family "transfer-messenger RNA". From Rfam's summary of the family: Bacterial tmRNA, also known as 10Sa RNA or SsrA, is named for its dual tRNA and mRNA-like properties. The record is from RNAcentral. RNAcentral also lists the same sequence under 1 other name. Lineage: Bacteria; Bacillati; Cyanobacteriota; Cyanophyceae; Acaryochloridales; Acaryochloridaceae.
GGGGCUGUAACGGCUUCGACGUUUUAGUGAACGUAGCCUCGUGAUUCAGGCCGAGAGUGAGUCACCUCUCGUAAAUCCAUGACUCAAACAAAACGUAAAUGCGAACAACAUCGUUCCUUUCGCUCGUCGGGCAGUUGCUGUUGCCUAAAAACCUCUCCGGUUUUUGAGCGUCUUUAGUCAGAAUCCGUUAAAGACUUUAGACUUAACCCCCAACGGAUGCUCUAACAGAUUGCCUUUGGUCGAUUUGUCUAGCUAAGAACUCACCAAAGAAUCCUAUCGUCUGGGACAAUUGACGGUCCUUGCUUUUAGGGUAUAAAAGCUAAGCCUGUGAACGAAUGGGGAGCUAAUAACUAGGGCGGACACGGGUUCGACUCCCGUCAGCUCCACUA